GACGAACGCUGGCGGCGUGCCUCAUACAUGCAAGUCGAGCGGAUGUAGUAAUACAUCAGCGGCGGACGGGUGAGUAACACGUGGGUAACCUGGCCUUAAGAGGGGGAUAACGUUCCGAAAGGGACGCUAAUACCGCGUAAAGCGGUUUGAUCGCAUGAUCGAACUGGAAAAGGAGAAAUCCGCUUAAGGAUGGGCCCGCGGCCUAUUAGCUAGUUGGUAGGGUAAUGGCCUACCAAGGCGACGAUAGGUAGCCGACCUGAGAGGGUGAACGGCCACACUGGAACUGAGAACGGUCCAGACUCCUACGGGAGGCAGCAGUAGGGAAUAUUCCGCAAUGGGCGAAAGCCUGACGGAGCAACGCCGCGUGAGUGAAGAA
This 376-nucleotide ribosomal RNA is filed under the name uncultured bacterium. RNAcentral's name for it is "bacterial SSU rRNA". It matches the Rfam family "Bacterial small subunit ribosomal RNA", at positions 28 to 412 of the family's 1533-position model. The record is from RNAcentral.